Molecule: ribosomal RNA, 301 nt
Filed under: uncultured bacterium
Lineage: Bacteria
Description: partial 16S ribosomal RNA
Rfam family: Bacterial small subunit ribosomal RNA
Source: RNAcentral
CAGCCGCCGCGGGAACACGAAGGGUGCAAGCGUUAAUCGGAAUUACUGGGCGUAAAGCGUGCGUAGGCGGUUUGUUAAGUCUGUUGUGAAAUCCCCGGGCUCAACCUGGGAAUGGCAAUGGAUACUGGCAAGCUAGAGUGUGUCAGAGGAUGGUGGAAUUCCCGGUGUAGCGGUGAAAUGCGUAGAGAUCGGGAGGAACAUCAGUGGCGAAGGCGGCCAUCUGGGACAACACUGACGCUGAGGCACGAAAGCGUGGGGAGCAAACAGGAUUAGAUACCCCUGUAGUCCCUGUCUCUUAUAC